AGGACGAACGCUGGCGGCGUGCUUAACACAUGCAAGUCGAGCGGAAAGGCCCUUCGGGGUACUCGAGCGGCGAACGGGUGAGUAACACGUGAGUAACCUGCCCCAGGCUUUGGGAUAACCCUCGGAAACGGGGGCUAAUACCGGAUAUUCACUUCUCGUGGCAUCACGGGUGGUGGAAAGUUUUUCGGCUUGGGAUGGGCUCGCGGCCUAUCAGCUUGUUGGUGGGGUGAUGGCCUACCAAGGCGACGACGGGUAGCCGGCCUGAGAGGGCGACCGGCCACACUGGGACUGAGACACGGCCCAGACUCCUACGGGAGGCAGCAGUGGGGAAUAUUGCACAAUGGGCGGAAGCCUGAUGCAGCGACGCCGCGUGAGGGAUGAAGGCCUUCGGGUUGUAAACCUCUUUCGACAGGGACGAAGCGCAAGUGACGGUACCUGGAGAAGAAGCACCGGCCAACUACGCGCCAGCAGCCGC
This 475-nucleotide ribosomal RNA is filed under the name uncultured bacterium. RNAcentral's name for it is "SSU rRNA". It matches the Rfam family "Bacterial small subunit ribosomal RNA", at positions 26 to 518 of the family's 1533-position model. The record is from RNAcentral.